RNAcentral lists this ribosomal RNA (253 nucleotides) under uncultured bacterium. RNAcentral describes it as "partial 16S ribosomal RNA". It matches the Rfam family "Bacterial small subunit ribosomal RNA", at positions 524 to 776 of the family's 1533-position model. The record is from RNAcentral.
UACGAGGGGGGCAAGCGUUGUUCGGAUUCAUUGGGCGUAAAGGGUGCGUAGGUGGCGCCGUAAGUCAGGUGUGAAAUUUCGGAGCUUAACUCCGAAACUGCAUUUGAUACUGCGGUGCUUGAGGACUGGAGAGGAGACUGGAAUUUACGGUGUAGCAGUGAAAUGCGUAGAGAUCGUAAGGAAGACCAGUGGCGAAGGCGGGUCUCUGGACAGUUCCUGACACUGAGGCACGAAGGCCAGGGGAGCAAACGGG